RNAcentral lists this ribosomal RNA (512 nucleotides) under uncultured bacterium. Its description in RNAcentral is "bacterial SSU rRNA". It matches the Rfam family "Bacterial small subunit ribosomal RNA", at positions 8 to 518 of the family's 1533-position model. The record is from RNAcentral.
AGAGUUUGAUUAUGGCUCAGGAUGAACGCUGGCGGCGUGCCUAACACAUGCAAGUCGAACGGGCCUUAUAUUGACAGAGACUUCGGUCAACGAAGAUUUAAGGUUAGUGGCGGACGGGUGAGUAACGCGUGGAGAACCUGCCCCGGAGAGGGGGAUAACACUCAGAAAUGGGUGCUAAUACCGCAUAAGCGCACGGUACCGCAUGGUACAGUGUGAAAAACUCUGGUGCUCCGGGAUGGCUCCGCGUUGGAUUAGCCAGUUGGCGGGUAACGGCCCACCAAAGCGACGAUCCAUAGCCGGCCUGAGAGGGUGAACGGCCACAUUGGGACUGAGACACGGCCCAGACUCCUACGGGAGGCAGCAGUGGGGAAUAUUGCACAAUGGGGGGAACCCUGAUGCCAGCGACGCCGCGUGAAGGAAGAAGUAUCUCGGUAUGUAAACUUCUAUCAGCAGGGAAGAAGGAAGACGGUACCUGCACAAGAAGCCCCGGCUAACUACGUGCCAGCCGCAGC